UGCUGUGUAGCUCAGUGGUAGAACACUUGCCUAACACACACAAGGCUCUGGGUUCCAUCCCCAGUGCUGCAA
RNAcentral lists this transfer RNA (72 nucleotides) under Heterocephalus glaber (naked mole-rat). It matches the Rfam family "tRNA". Rfam says of the family: Transfer RNA (tRNA) molecules are approximately 80 nucleotides in length. Their secondary structure includes four short double-helical elements and three loops (D, anti-codon, and T loops). The record is from Rfam by way of RNAcentral. Lineage: Eukaryota; Metazoa; Chordata; Mammalia; Rodentia; Bathyergidae.